Molecule: unclassified non-coding RNA, 345 nt
Filed under: soil metagenome
Description: partial contains 5.8S ribosomal RNA, internal transcribed spacer 2, and large subunit ribosomal RNA
Rfam family: 5.8S ribosomal RNA (bases 1-120)
Source: RNAcentral
GAUGAAGAACGCAGCGAAAUGCGAUACGUAAUGUGAAUUGCAGAAUUCAGUGAAUCAUCGAGUCUUUGAACGCACAUUGCGCCCUCUGGUAUUCCGGAGGGCAUGCCUGUCCGAGCGUCAUUGCUGCCCUCAAGCACGGCUUGUGUGUUGGGCCCCGCCCCCCGAUCCCGGGGGGCGGGCCCGAAAGGCAGCGGCGGCACCGCGUCCGGUCCUCGAGCGUAUGGGGCUUUGUCACCCGCUCUGUAGGCCCGGCCGGCGCCUGCCGAUCAACCAAACUUUUUUCCAGGUUGACCUCGGAUCAGGUAGGGAUACCCGCUGAACUUAAGCAUAUCAAUAAACGGAGGA